Molecule: ribosomal RNA, 253 nt
Filed under: uncultured bacterium
Lineage: Bacteria
Description: partial 16S ribosomal RNA
Rfam family: Bacterial small subunit ribosomal RNA
Source: RNAcentral
UACGUAGGGGGCUAGCGUUGUCCGGAUUUAUUGGGCGUAAAGAGCGUGUAGGCGGCCAUGUAGGUCCGGUGUGAAAACUCGAGGCUUAACCUCGAGAUGUCAUCGGAAACCAUUUGGCUAGAGUCCGGAAGAGGAGAGUGGAAUUCCUGGUGUAGCGGUGGAAUGCGCAGAUAUCAGGAGGAACACCAAUAGCGAAGGCAGCUCGCUGGGACGGUACUGACGCUAAGGCGCGAAAGCGUGGGGAGCGAACAGG